CCAAAAGCCUUUCUAAACAAACAGUAGCUGGAAAAUGCUGAAAAUGAAUAAAUGGAAUCCCUGUCCUUAAAGACAUCCCAGCCUGGCAGAAAGAUGGAUAAGUAAACAACAGUGGGGUGCAGGAACUGAUACUGACCAUUGAUGGGCACAAAGUAUUAUGGGAACACAGACAGCAGGCACUAACCUGCUUUAGGAAUGCCUGGGAUGAUUUACUAAGAGAACUGCCGUGAAGGAUGGCAACUUGGAUCGGCCCAGAAGCCUUCCCUGGUACUCACCCAGGGCCUGAUGUAGAUGUCACUCGGUGGUCCCAGCAGCUUGUCACAGCUGACAGCACACUGCUUAUUAUUGGUUUACUUGUUCACCUUUCUCCACAAAAUGGUAAGCUCCUUAAAAGUAGAAACUUUGUCAUUGUAUCUACAGUGCCUGCUGAUGCAUAAGAACUAUCUGACAAGUAAAUAUAAGGAGUCUAGGAUGAUGAAAAUACUUCUUCUCUAAGACGGGCUGAUGUUUAAAGACAGUAUUUUAUGUCUGUACCAUGAUAUGUUUAAAGAAUGUGUAUUCGUGUUUGAAAUGCCAAUACCAAAUAUUAGAUGCAAGCACAGGGUCGGGAACCAUGGGAGACAAACAAGACACAAUCACUGCUCUCCAGAAACUUACAGUGUAAACUGGAGGCUUCACGGUCCCCACCAGGAUCUAAACAGGCAUAUCUUUCAUGUGUUUUUAUUUUGGAGUUCCACAAAACACUUUUUUUGAAUACAGAGCUCCAUUUCGUUAAAAAAAUUGACAACUCUGAUCAAGUAAAUAAGAAAGCUGCUUAUAGGUAAUAGAGUUUCCCCUUCCUUUUUAAGAUUAGAAGGAAAUUUAGAUGAAAGGAAUUGAGAAUUUACAUUUUUAGAUGAUGUGUUCAUAUUUCUUUGGAUUUCAUCUUAGUUUUCCCUCACCAGUUGCCUUUUAGCACCUUUCUAAUAGGCAAUCUGUAGCAAUGUACAGAUGUUUACAAUAAUGAAAGUGCUCAUUCUUUCCUAUAUACUGCAAUAUCACGUAUUUGCUACUAUCCAGAAAAAGGUUCUACAUAUAUCCUUUCUAAAGUUACUGUGAAGUAUCUUCAAGAACUAUACUUCAUGACGGUUAUUCUAAGGUGUUUAAUUCAAAACCACUACCUAAUUUCUCUAUAGCAUGUGGAAUUUAACAUCCCAUUUUCAAAAUAGAAUGGUUUAAAAUUAAUUGACUUAAGGAGCUGCAGACCCACAUACAGUGAAUCUUCUAUGAGGUUUACAGGAAAAAUGAGCCAAAAGACAUAUAAGUACAGUAUUCUUUAUUAUAAACAAUCAGAUAACAGUAUAAGUGUGCAUUUGAUGGAUAACCGAAGCCAAGUUAUUAUAAUAGAAAGCAUGACUUCACUCAAAUAGACAGUUUCUUUGUUGUUGUUAAUCUGUUUUACAUUAAUUUGAAUUUAACAUAUGCUAGGAUCACCUAAACUUGUCAUACAGUUCUGCUAUUAAAAUCGUAACAGGGAAAGACAAAAUGUGAAAUGCAUGUUAUAUUUUGCUUUAUUUGUUGAAUAUAUAUGUGUGUGUGUGUGUAUAUAUAUAUAUAUAUAUACACACUAAAUAUUUGGGACACAAAGUUAAGCAGGUGCUUACAGUCUAUCAAGUGAUAUUUAUGAAAUGUUUUUGUUGCUGUUUUGUUGCUGUUAUGGGAACAUCCAUAUCCUUAGAAGACAAUAAAAAAGAGGAUUCUAAAUGCUAGAUGGUUGGCUAACUUCUCCUGAUUUAUACUGAGUGUAAAACAAAACAAAACAAAACAUAAGGUAUAUGUGUUAAGUAGUGACAUCUUUAUAGUUCCAAAGCACUCGCAGCUAUUAAAAUAUCAUCUAGCUAAAACAAACUUUUCACAAUUUUUUAACAGAAAAAUAAUAAACCAACAACAAAAACUGAUCAAUGUUCUGGGUCUUGUGAGCAGACCGAAAUGUUACUACAGUGUUCUCUAUUGUGUGAUCCUUGUCCGUGGCAACCUUAAACGUGUGCUGCAGUGCUGAUGUAUUUAUAGGCUUAGCAUGUCUGCUUUAUUAGUUAUCCUGGAAAGAAUGCUAUUCAGUUUUUUUUUUAAUGUCUACAUCAAGGAAUGAAUGCUAAAUGAGCCCAUUUAGCAGCCUGAAAUCAAAUACUGCAUUUAUUUUUUGAAACUCUUGGUAGCAAAAGAAAAAGCUGAUUAAAAUAUGAUUGUGUUACAAUGACUAAAGGGUUAACUUCUCAUUAAUUCUAAAUUCUUCAAAAUGUACAAGCAUCAUAAUAAAGGCUUUUGAUGAGACAUG
This 2314-nucleotide long non-coding RNA is filed under the name Homo sapiens (human). RNAcentral's name for it is "non-protein coding lnc-RFXAP-2:1". The record is from RNAcentral. Lineage: Eukaryota; Metazoa; Chordata; Mammalia; Primates; Hominidae.